AGAGUUUGAUUCUGGCUCAGAACGAACGCUGGCAGCGUGGAUGAGGCACGCAAGUCGAACGGUUAUUUCUUUGUAGCAAUACUAAGGAAUGAUAGUGGCGGAAGGGCGAGUAAUGCGAGAGCAAGCUACCCCUCGAACUGGGACAACGUUUGGAAACGAACGCUAAUACCGGAUACGAAGCGCGGUCAUAUGGCCGUGUCUUGAAAGGUGGGGACCCGCAAGGGCCUGCCGUCGAAGGAGGCGCACCCGUGCCAUCAGCUAGUUGGUGAGGUAAUGGCUCACCAAGGCUUACGGCUAGGUGGACUGAGAGGUCGGUCACCCGCACUGGGACUGAGACACUGCCCAGACUCCUACGGGAGGCUGCAGUCGAGGAUCAUUCGCAAUGGGCGAAAGCCUGACGAUGCGACGCUGCGUGUAGGAUGAAGGCCUUCGGGUCGUAAACUACUGUCAUGUGGGGCAAGGGAGCCGGUGUGAAUAGCGCCUGGCUUUUGAUGGUACCACAAGAGGAAGCCACGGCUAACUCUGUGCCAGCAGCCGCGGUAAUACAGAGGUGGCGAGCGUUGUUCGGAUUUACAGGGCGUAAAGCGUGCGUAGGCGGUCGCGUAUGUCGGAUGUGAAAUCCCGGGGCUCACCCCCGGAAGUGCAUCCGAAACUGCGUGCUAGAGGCCGGGAUGGGUGACUGGAACACAUGGUGUAGCGGUGAAAUGCGUUGAUAUCAUGUGGAACACCGGAGGCGAAGGCGAGUCACUGGAACGGAUCUGACGCUAAGACACGAAAGCGUGGGGAGCAAACAGGAUUAGAUACCCUGGUAGUCCACGCUGUAAACGGUGCACAUUUGCCGUAGGGGGAAUUGACCCCCCCUGUGGCGUAGCAAACGCGUUAAAUGUGCCGCCUGGGGAGUACGGCCGCAAGGUUAAAACUCAAAGAAAUUGACGGGGGCCCGCACAAGCGGAGGAGCAUGUGGCUUAAUUCGAUGCAACGCGAAGAACCUUACCUAGACUUGACAUGUGACUGCACGACCGGUGAAAGCCGGUUUCCUUCGAGGGUGUCACACAGGUGCUGCAUGGCUGUCGUCAGUUCGUGCCGUGAGGUGUUUGGUUAAGUCCACCAACGAACGCAACCCCUGCGUCCAUUUGCCAUCAGGUAAUGCUGGGAACUAUGGACGGACUGCCCCUUCAACAGGGAGGAAGGUGGGGAUGACGUCAAGUCAGUAUGGCCCUUACGUCUAGGGCUGCACACGUGCUACAAUGGCCGGUACAGAAGGAUGCAAGACCGCGAGGUGGAGCAAACCCCUAAAACCGGCCCCAGUUCAGAUUGGAGUCUGCAACCCGACUCCAUGAAGUUGGAUUCGCUAGUAACGGCGCAUCAGCAUUCGGCGCCGUGAGUACGUUCCCGGGCCUUGUACACACCGCCCGUCACAUCAUGAAAGCCGUCUGCACCCGAAGCCGGUGCCUCAACCAGCAAUGGAGAGAGCCGUCUAAGGUGUGGGUGGUGAUUGGGAUGAAGUCGUAACAAGGUA
This 1519-nucleotide ribosomal RNA is filed under the name metagenome. RNAcentral's name for it is "bacterial SSU rRNA". It matches the Rfam family "Bacterial small subunit ribosomal RNA". The record is from RNAcentral.